Molecule: ribosomal RNA, 1478 nt
Filed under: uncultured bacterium
Lineage: Bacteria
Description: bacterial SSU rRNA
Rfam family: Bacterial small subunit ribosomal RNA
Source: RNAcentral
AGAGUUUGAUCCUGGCUCAGGAUGAACGCUAGCGGCAGGCUUAACACAUGCAAGUCGAGGGGUAACAGAGUAGCUUGCUACUGCUGACGACCGGCGCACGGGUGCGUAACGCGUAUACAAUCUACCUUAUACUGGGGUAUAGCCUUUAGAAAUGAAGAUUAACCCCCCAUAGUCUCUAAGAGUGGCAUCACAUUUAGAGUAAAGGUUACGGUAUAAGAUGAGUAUGCGUUCUAUUAGUUUGUUGGUGAGGUAACGGCUUACCAAGACUACGAUAGAUAGGGGCCCUGAGAGGGGGAUCCCCCACACUGGUACUGAGACACGGACCAGACUCCUACGGGAGGCAGCAGUGAGGAAUAUUGGACAAUGGAGGCAACUCUGAUCCAGCCAUGCCGCGUGUAGGAUGACUGCCCUAUGGGUUGUAAACUACUUUUAUACAGGAAGAAACACCUCUACGUGUAGAGGCUUGACGGUACUGUAAGAAUAGGGAUCGGCUAACUCCGUGCCAGCAGCCGCGGUAAUACGGAGGAUCCAAGCGUUAUCCGGAAUCAUUGGGUUUAAAGGGUCCGUAGGUGGAUAAUUAAGUCAGAGGUGAAAUCUUGCAGCUCAACUGUAAAAUUGCCUUUGAAACUGGUUAUCUUGAGUUAUUAUGAAGUAGUUAGAAUAUGUAGUGUAGCGGUGAAAUGCAUAGAUAUUACAUAGAAUACCAAUUGCGAAGGCAGAUUACUAAUAAUCAACUGACACUGAUGGACGAAAGCGUGGGUAGCGAACAGGAUUAGAUACCCUGGUAGUCCACGCCGUAAACGAUGGUUACUAGCUGUUUGGACUUCGGUCUGAGUGGCUAAGCGAAAGUGAUAAGUAACCCACCUGGGGAGUACGUUCGCAAGAAUGAAACUCAAAGGAAUUGACGGGGGCCCGCACAAUCGGUGGAGCAUGUGGUUUAAUUCGAUGAUACGCGAGGAACCUUACCAGGGCUUAAAUGUAAGUUGCAUUAGUUAGAGAUAGCUAUUUCUUCGGACCACUUACAAGGUGCUGCAUGGUUGUCGUCAGCUCGUGCCGUGAGGUGUCAGGUUAAGUCCUAUAACGAGCGCAACCCCUGUUGUUAGUUGCCAGCGAGUCAUGUCGGGAACUCUAACAAGACUGCCAGUGCAAACUGUGAGGAAGGUGGGGAUGACGUCAAAUCAUCACGGCCCUUACGUCCUGGGCUACACACGUGCUACAAUGGUAGGGACAGAGAGCAGCCACUGGGCGACCAGGAGCGAAUCUAUAAACCCUAUCACAGUUCGGAUCGGAGUCUGCAACUCGACUCCGUGAAGCUGGAAUCGCUAGUAAUCGGAUAUCAGCCAUGAUCCGGUGAAUACGUUCCCGGGCCUUGUACACACCGCCCGUCAAGCCAUGGAAGUUGGAAGUGCCUGAAGUCCGUCACCGCAAGGAGCGGCCUAGGGUAAAGUCGAUAACUAGGGCUAAGUCGUAACAAGGUA